This is a long non-coding RNA of Eurytemora carolleeae, 215 nucleotides long. RefSeq lists it as uncharacterized. Lineage: Eukaryota; Metazoa; Arthropoda; Copepoda; Calanoida; Temoridae. The transcript is spliced from 2 exons. The record is from RefSeq and is a predicted model, not a curated record.
AAUAACAUUUUAGAUACUUUCCAAGCAGUUUUAUCACGUGUCAACUUCCCAAAUAUUUACAAUUGAUCAAGUGCGAUCUUUCAAAUGUAUUCAUGUCACUUUUAAGUCAAAGCGAUCGAUUAGAACAUCCCUUACCCUAACCCAUUAUAAACUUUACAGUAAACAUAUCUGCCUCAUUCAUCCAAAAUUGAUAUUUUGGAAAUAAACAAUGCUCA